RNAcentral lists this ribosomal RNA (253 nucleotides) under uncultured bacterium. Its description in RNAcentral is "partial 16S ribosomal RNA". It matches the Rfam family "Bacterial small subunit ribosomal RNA", at positions 524 to 776 of the family's 1533-position model. The record is from RNAcentral.
UACGUAGGGUGCAAGCGUUAAUCGGAAUUACUGGGCGUAAAGCGUGCGCAGGCGGUUAUGCAAGACAGAGGUGAAAUCCCCGGGCUCAACCUGGGAACUGCCUUUGUGACUGCAUAGCUAGAGUACGGCAGAGGGGGAUGGAAUUCCGCGUGUAGCAGUGAAAUGCGUAGAUAUGCGGAGGAACACCGAUGGCGAAGGCAAUCCCCUGGGCAUGUACUGACGCUCAUGCACGAAAGCGUGGGGAGCAAACAGG